Molecule: ribosomal RNA, 921 nt
Filed under: uncultured Actinomycetales bacterium
Lineage: Bacteria; Bacillati; Actinomycetota; Actinomycetes; Actinomycetales
Description: bacterial SSU rRNA
Rfam family: Bacterial small subunit ribosomal RNA
Source: RNAcentral
AGUCGAGCGAUGAAGCACCUUCUGGGUGUGAAUUAGCGGCGAACGGGUGAGGAACACGUGAAGAAUCUGCCUUCAACCCUGGGAUAACUCCGGGAAACCGGGGCUAAUACCGGAUAUGAGCCUUGAUCGCAUGAUCGGGGCUGGAAAGUUUUUCGGUUGAAGAUGACUUCGCGGCCUAUCAGCUUGUUGGUGAGGUAAUGGCUCACCAAGGCGACGACGGGUAGCCGGCCUGAGAGGGCGACCGGCCACACUGGGACUGAGACACGGCCCAGACUCCUACGGGAGGCAGCAGUGGGGAAUAUUGGGCAAUGGAGGAAACUCUGACCCAGCGACGCCGCGUGAGGGAUGAAGGCCUUCGGGUUGUAAACCUCUUUCAGUAGGGAAGAAGCGAAAGUGACGGUACCUACAGAAGAAGCACCGGCUAACUAUGUGCCAGCAGCCGCGGUAAUACAUAGGGUGCAAGCGUUGUCCGGAAUUAUUGGGCGUAAAGGGCUCGUAGGUGGUUCGAUACAUCGGAUGUGAAAAUCAGGGGCUCAACCCCUGACCUGCAUCCGAUACGGUCGAGCUAGAGUUUGGUAGGGGAGACUGGAAUUCCUGGUGUAGCGGUGGAAUGCGCAGAUAUCAGGAGGAACACCGAUGGCGAAGGCAGGUCUCUGGGCCAAUACUGACACUGAGGAGCGAAAGCGUGGGGAGCGAACAGGAUUAGAUACCCUGGUAGUCCACGCCGUAAACGGUGGGCGCUAGUUGUGCGAACCCUCCACGGUUUGUGCGACGCAGCUAACGCAUUAAGCGCCCCGCCUGGGGAGUACGAUCGCAAGAUUAAAACUCAAAGGAAUUGACGGGGCCCCGCACAAGCAGCGGAGCAUGCGGCUUAAUUCGACGCAACGCGAAGAACCUUACCAAGGCUUGACAUAUACAGGA